RNAcentral lists this ribosomal RNA (253 nucleotides) under uncultured bacterium. RNAcentral describes it as "partial 16S ribosomal RNA". It matches the Rfam family "Bacterial small subunit ribosomal RNA", at positions 524 to 776 of the family's 1533-position model. The record is from RNAcentral.
UACGGGGGGGGCAAGCGUUGUUCGGAAUUACUGGGCGUAAAGGGCUCGUAGGCGGCCAACUAAGUCAGACGUGAAAUCCCUCGGCUUAACCGGGGAACUGCAUCUGAUACUGGAUGGCUUGAGAUUGGGAGAGGGAUGCGGAAUUCCAGGUGUAGCGGUGAAAUGCGUAGAUAUCUGGAGGAACACCGGUGGCGAAGGCGGCAUCCUGGACCAACACUGACGCUGAGGAGCGAAAGCCAGGGGAGCAAUCGGG